AACUUCCAGCGGUCUUCCGAUGAACUCUCGGAAACCAUUCUGCGGACUCCCGGCAAGCUCCUAGACUUCACGAUUUGUUCUUAGCGAGUUCCAACGAGCUUCUUCGGCAAGCUCCGAUCUUUCUCGGCGAGCUCCGCGAACUCCCAACUAACCUUCCGGCGAGCUUCCGAAAAACCCUUCGGCAAGCUCCCAACUCAUUCUCGGCUAGUUCCGGAAGCAUUCCCGACGAACCUUCGGACUUCCGUCGAACUCUCGAACUCGUAACAAAUCCUUCGCGCUUGACUCCGA
RNAcentral lists this long non-coding RNA (288 nucleotides) under Musa acuminata (dwarf banana). Its description in RNAcentral is "long non-coding RNA (MACU_LNC004007)". The record is from RNAcentral. Lineage: Eukaryota; Viridiplantae; Streptophyta; Magnoliopsida; Zingiberales; Musaceae.